AGCAGCCGCCACGGUAAUACAGAGGGUGCGAGCGUUAAUCGGAUUUACUGGGCGUAAAGCGUGCGUAGGCGGCUUCUUAAGUCGGAUGUGAAAUCCCUGAGCUUAACUUAGGAAUUGCAUUCGAUACUGGGAAGCUAGAGUAUGGGAGAGGAUGGUAGAAUUCCAGGUGUAGCGGUGAAAUGCGUAGAGAUCUGGAGGAAUACCGAUGGCGAAGGCAGCCAUCUGGCCUAAUACUGACGCUGAGGUACGAAAGCAUGGGGAGCAAACAGGAUUAGAUACCCCCGUAGUCCCUGUCUCUUAUAA
RNAcentral lists this ribosomal RNA (303 nucleotides) under uncultured bacterium. RNAcentral describes it as "partial 16S ribosomal RNA". It matches the Rfam family "Bacterial small subunit ribosomal RNA", at positions 507 to 809 of the family's 1533-position model. The record is from RNAcentral.